UCCUCAUCGCGAUUUCCAGAGAUGGAUUUCUUCAGUUCGGCUGGAUGGGUGACAGGUGCUGCAUGGCUGUCGUCAGCUCGUGUCGUGAGAUGUUGGGUUAAGUCCCGCAACGAGCGCAACCCUCGCCUUUAGUUGCCAUCAUUUAGUUGGGUACUAUAAAGGAACCGCCGGUGAUAAGCCGGAGGAAGGUGGGGAUGACGUCAAGUCCUCAUGGCCCUUACGCGCUGGGCUACACACGUGCUACAAUGGCGACUACAGUGGGCAGCGACCAUGCGAGUGGAAGCUAAUCUCCAAAAGUCGUCUCAGUUCGGAUUGUUCUCUGCAACUCGAGAGCAUGAAGGCGGAAUCGCUAGUAAUCGCGGAUCAGCAUGCCGCGGUGAAUACGUUCCCAGGCCUUGUACACACCGCCCGUCACACCAUGGGAGUUGGUUUCACCCGAAGGCAGUGCGCUAACCGCAAGGAGGCAGCUGACCACGGUGGGAUCAGCGACUGGGGUGAAGUCGUAACAAGGUAAAGGCCC
Molecule: ribosomal RNA, 520 nt
Filed under: uncultured Sphingobium sp.
Lineage: Bacteria; Pseudomonadati; Pseudomonadota; Alphaproteobacteria; Sphingomonadales; Sphingobiaceae
Description: bacterial SSU rRNA
Rfam family: Bacterial small subunit ribosomal RNA
Source: RNAcentral